RNAcentral lists this unclassified non-coding RNA (202 nucleotides) under Hevea brasiliensis (rubber tree). Lineage: Eukaryota; Viridiplantae; Streptophyta; Magnoliopsida; Malpighiales; Euphorbiaceae. The record is from RNAcentral.
GGUUGUUGCUAGGGAGUCUGAAAGAGCAGAGAGGGCAACAUUGGUUACACAGGAGAAGCUCCAGUUAGCUGGUAAUCGUUUCAAGCCAAUUAGGUUGCCGGAGCUUUGGAUUCGCCCCCCUUUUGGUGGACGUGGGAGGAAGUUACCUGGGACUCUGGAAGCACAUUUGAAUGGAUUUCGUUAUGCUACCACUAGAUCAGAG